This is a long non-coding RNA of Haemorhous mexicanus (house finch), 465 nucleotides long. RefSeq lists it as uncharacterized. Lineage: Eukaryota; Metazoa; Chordata; Aves; Passeriformes; Fringillidae. The record is from RefSeq and is a predicted model, not a curated record. The transcript is spliced from 3 exons.
UGGAUUGACAGGGUUUCCCUGUUGUUUGUAUUUCCAGAAACAUCAAGCUCAGGACAAUGCAGCAUUAGAAACAGGACAAAAAGGACCCAACGGCUGUACUGAAAUGACAAAAAACUCCUUGAUCUGGGCAUCUCUUUCAGAUUACCAACAGCUGGAUUACAAUUUGAGAGUUAAUCUCUUCCAAGGUGGCCCACUGAAGAUCCAAAGCUUGAUGAGAGAUUCCUACAUCCCUGAAAUAUUUCAGAAGGCAGCCAUAGAUCCCAGACAUUGGCAUGGAAAGAGAAUUAGUGAGCUAGGGAGAUGGUAUGAGAAGUAUUUCCUAGAACUUAACGUGCAGAAAGAAAUGAAGAAGAAACGUGGAAGGAAUAAAAAAGACAAUUCCUAGAAGAUAAAGGUUGAAGAUUGGAGUGCAUUCAACGAGUCUUUUUCUUCCACCAUCUAAUAAACCUGCAUGUGAAACCAGAA